GACGAACGCUGGCGGCGUGCCUAACACAUGCAAGUCGAACGAGAAUCUUUGAACAGAUCUUUUCGGAGUGACGUUCAAAGAGGAAAGUGGCGGACGGGCGAGUAACGCGUGAGUAACCUGCCCAUAAGAGGGGGAUAAUCCAUGGAAACGUGGACUAAUACCGCAUAUUGUAGUUAAGUUGCAUGACUUGAUUAUGAAAGAUUUAUCGCUUAUGGAUGGACUCGCGUCAGAUUAGAUAGUUGGUGAGGUAACGGCUCACCAAGUCAACGAUCUGUAGCCGAACUGAGAGGUUGAUCGGCCGCAUUGGGACUGAGACACGGCCCAGACUCCUACGGGAGGCAGCAGUGGGGAAUAUUGCGCAAUGGGGGCAACCCUGACGCAGCAACGCCGCGUGCAGGAAGAAGGUCUUCGGAUUGUAAACUGUUGUCGCAAGGGAAGAAGACAGUGACGGUACCUUGUGAGAAAGUCACGGCUAACUACGUG
This 483-nucleotide ribosomal RNA is filed under the name uncultured organism. RNAcentral's name for it is "bacterial SSU rRNA". It matches the Rfam family "Bacterial small subunit ribosomal RNA", at positions 28 to 507 of the family's 1533-position model. The record is from RNAcentral.